This 451-nucleotide long non-coding RNA is filed under the name Struthio camelus australis. RNAcentral describes it as "lncRNA (ENSSCUG00000018620.1)". Lineage: Eukaryota; Metazoa; Chordata; Aves; Struthioniformes; Struthionidae. The record is from RNAcentral.
AGAAACUGUCAUUUUUCUGAUGCUGGAAGUCUGGCUCUGCGUAGCCUCUUCUGUCAGUUUUAGUUCUGGUAUCUAGGUAUUCUGGUGUGUUGCCUAAAAUCUAUUUGCAAUACAAAUGAAACAAGUGAUUGCUGCAAUAGAGAGAAGUGCUGAUCCGAUGGUCUUCAGCCAAGGGGAAGAGUAAACAUUUCCUGAACCGAUAAUGUUGGCACUGCUCAGCAGUGGAUAUCCUUUGGAGACUUGGUCAGUACUGUCAAGAAAACUGACUUUGCUGAGUGAAAACAGCCUUUUGUGCAAAAUUCUUAUUCUCAAGGACAGCAAAUCUUUGGAAGGUAUUCAACGUCAUGUAAUCUUGAUUUGCAUCUUCAGGACAAGUGAAUAAUGAGUGAGUAUUUAGAAUAUGCACUUUAAUACUAUAAUUUACAACUUUUUGUUAGAAAAAACUACUGAG